UACGUAGGGGGGCUAGCGUUAUCCGGAAUUACUGGGCGUAAAGGGUGCGUAGGUGGUUUCUUAAGUCAGAGGUGAAAGGCUACGGCUCAACCGUAGUAAGCCUUUGAAACUGGGAAACUUGAGUGCAGGAGAGGAGAGUGGAAUUCCUAGUGUAGCGGUGAAAAUGCGUAGAUAUCAGGAAGAACACCUAUGGCGAAGGCAGCUCUC
Molecule: ribosomal RNA, 207 nt
Filed under: uncultured bacterium
Lineage: Bacteria
Description: partial 16S ribosomal RNA
Rfam family: Bacterial small subunit ribosomal RNA
Source: RNAcentral